GACGAACGCUGGCGGCGUGCUUAACAUACGCAAGUCGAACGGUGAAGUGAGUGCUUGCACUCGUGGAUCAGUGGCGACAGGGUGAGUAUCACGUGAGUAACCUGCCCAUCACUCUGGGAUAAGCACUGGAAACGGUGUCUAAUACCGGACACGACCAACCCUUGCAUGGGGCGCUGGUGGCAAGAUUUAUCGGUGAUGGAUGGACUCGCGGCCUAUCAGCUUGUUGGCGGGGUAAUGGCCCACCAAGGCGACGACGGGUAGCCGGCCUGAGAGGGUGACCGGCCACACUGGGACUGAGACACGGCCCAGACUCCUACGGGAGGCAGCAGUGGGGAAUGUUGCACAAUGGGCGAAGGCCUGAUGCAGCGACGCCGCGUGAGGGAUGACGGCCUUCGGGUUGUAAACCUCUUUCAGCAGGGAAGAAGCGAAAGUGACGGUACCUGCAGAAGAAGCACCGGCUAGCUACGUG
RNAcentral lists this ribosomal RNA (469 nucleotides) under uncultured bacterium. Its description in RNAcentral is "partial 16S ribosomal RNA". It matches the Rfam family "Bacterial small subunit ribosomal RNA", at positions 28 to 507 of the family's 1533-position model. The record is from RNAcentral.